GAGACAGGGGUCCCAUGACCAGGACAGGAGCCCAUCAGAACAGCUGCCUUCAGAGAGGGAAAGGCCAAAACUGCCUCGAGGUCUCAGGAAGCAACCUAUGAUAGUGACAAGGCCCCAAGCUGGGCUCUGAAGGCCUGAGUACCAAGCUCUACCCUGCACUAACUGGCUAGUGACUUAGCAAAUCAGGACUCUCACCCUCUCUGGCCCUCCGUUUUCUCAUCCCUGUGCCAGCGAAGCUAUUCUCGCCUUGCCUGCAUCUCCGUGUAUGAUAAGGGUGUCUCCACCUCGCCUGCUGUGCCUCACCUCUUCAUCUGUAAAAUGGGGGUAAUACUUCCUCAUAGGGUAUCUGAGGAUUACAUGAGAUGAUUUGCUUAAAGGGCUUAGAUCUGUUGCAUGUGAACCCUCCAAAAGACGUUGCUGAUGCUUUUAUGUAACAAUAUUCAUGGAGGACUCUUAGGACUCAGCCCUGGGCUAGGAGAGGAACAAAUAGACACCGUCUCUACAUGCAGGAAGUUCAGCAUUUCUCAGAUAAUCCCAGAACUGAAUGUCAGAUUGAAACUAAGAAGUAUUUGAGAGUUCUCCAGAUGGAAACCGCCCUAGUCAGGGAGACGGGAGAGGCCUGUCCUGAGGAUGAGGAGGAAUCAGAUGGGAACCGGGCAGAGUGCAGGGUGUGGGCAAAGGUCCCAGGAGGGUGCCUGGCCAAUACAAGCAAUGGGCAGGUAGCCAGUGGGCCUGGGGGGUGGCUCGUGAGAGGCCAGGCAGGCCAGCAGGGCCCUCGGUUUGCAGCCUGUGGAAUGGGGCUCAGGAAGACUUUCCCUGACAAACCACCCAGCCAUUGGCAGCAUUGCUGCAUAGGAUUCAUUUACUACAGAGCUGAGUUCGGAAGAAAGGGGCAGUACCAGGUACCUGAGAUAGAGAGACGAUGGAAAGCCAAGGUGUAAACAGCAGGCCCAGAGAGACAGAGGAGUGGCUCUGGGUUCAAACCACACUGCCCUGGGCCUGGAGUUCUAACACCCACAGGAGAAACAACUGUGAUGGGGGUGGGGGUGGGGGGUGAAAAGAUGACGUCCCUCAGAGCAAAAGAGACUACCUCGCUCCACCCGCCAGGAAGUGGGGAAGGAGGGUACAAACUUAAAGCCCUUGUGUGCCCUGCAGGUCUGAAGCAUGUGUGUGGACCGCCUGUGUGGUGUAAGACUUCCUGACAUAGAAACACACCAGAAUAAAGGACGGUGCAACCCUCGGGGGCCCUGACAGGAGUAAAUACAGAACAGUCCUCUUAGGACAUUCGGCUGAUGCAGGGAGCAGAGUGUGUCCACAGAAGAACCAAGUUCCACUGAAACGAUCUCGCAAACAGACAAAAAGGACAAAUACACAAGGAAAUCAUCCAGGAUGCCCGAGAGCUAGCAAACACACCAGGCUCAGGAGCCAGCUACGGGAAGACUCAGAGACAUCUUGGAAAGCAUCCAGCCCAGAGUACAGACGGAGAAACGGAGGAGAAGUUGCACUGUUUCCUCCCAGCUAGUAUUUCAUCUAUUCCACAAAUAUGAGGGGACUUCACAAUGUUCAUGGAAAACUGGGAUUCAAAUAUGUUCAUUUUGGUUCAAACACUUUUUAAAAUCUGUGGAUAGUUGUUUCAGAACGUGCAUCUUCCAAAACUCUUGAAGAUCCCUUAUAUUUUAUGCGUGCCUCAGCCACCAUGUAAGGUAGACCAGAUGUAUGUGGUUCCCGCCCUCACAGGCUGAUAUCCCAGCAGAGACAUCAGUUGGAACAGCUAGUGACCAGGGCUUGCACGUCCCACCCUGGCUGGCUGGCCACCAGCUCCACACCUUCUGGAAGCAGUCUACUGACCAGCUGCCCUGGGAACUGAAACCAGGAAAGAAGUUAGUGCCCAGUUCCCUGCCCAUCUCAUGCCAUAAGCCACCUGCGUGUCAAGAGUGUCCACACAUCCCUGAAGUUAUCCUCUCAUUCACUUUACUGGGAGAGGCUCCAUCAGAGAAAUGGUUGGCUGUCUCCUAAAAUCUGUUUGCCCUCCCCAUCCCUCUCAGAGUUCUGUGACACCCAAGUUUUAGCUGGGCUUAUGGGUGCCGGGAAUAAAUUUUGUAGCUUCCUUUGCAGCUAGAUAUGACCGUGUGCCUAA
Tupaia belangeri chinensis (Chinese tree shrew) is the source of this 2137-nucleotide long non-coding RNA. RefSeq lists it as uncharacterized. NCBI's taxonomy places the organism in Eukaryota, Metazoa, Chordata, Mammalia, Scandentia, Tupaiidae. The record is from RefSeq and is a predicted model, not a curated record. The transcript has 2 exons.